UGCAGUAUAUCGCUGAAUUCCCGGCUCGCCGGGAAGCGGGGGAACCAACGGGACAUGACAACGCGUUAGACGCGCCGAUCGGUCCAAGGGGUGAAUCCCUUCGCGCUUGCCUUGCAAGCGCUGGGGUAGGGCGACUCUCACGCCCGAAUCCGUCAGCUAACCUCGUAAGCGUAUAGAGAGAGGCAAC
This 187-nucleotide small RNA is filed under the name Paenibacillus sp. RNAcentral's name for it is "c-di-AMP sequence". It matches the Rfam family "c-di-AMP riboswitch aptamer (ydaO/yuaA leader)". From Rfam's summary of the family: This family represents a conserved RNA structure found upstream of the ydaO and yuaA genes in Bacillus subtilis and related genes in other bacteria. The ydaO/yuaA element is thought to act as a genetic "off" switch for the ydaO and yuaA genes in its native state. It is believed that the element may be triggered during osmotic shock leading to activation of ydaO, a predicted amino acid transporter gene, and members of the yuaA-yubG operon which code for KtrA and KtrB K+ transporters. RNAcentral also lists the same sequence under 1 other name. Lineage: Bacteria; Bacillati; Bacillota; Bacilli; Caryophanales; Paenibacillaceae. The record is from RNAcentral.